RNAcentral lists this microRNA precursor (72 nucleotides) under Caenorhabditis remanei. RNAcentral describes it as "let-7 microRNA precursor family". It matches the Rfam family "let-7 microRNA precursor family". From Rfam's summary of the family: This family represents the microRNAs (miRNA) let-7 and mir-98. let-7 was identified from a study of developmental timing in C. elegans, and was later shown to be part of a much larger class of non-coding RNAs termed miRNAs. The extents of the hairpin precursors are not generally known and are estimated based on hairpin prediction. Lineage: Eukaryota; Metazoa; Nematoda; Chromadorea; Rhabditida; Rhabditidae. The record is from Rfam by way of RNAcentral.
UCUGGUGAGGUAGUAGGUUGUAUAGUUUAGAAUCUUACCUUGGUGAACUAUGCAAGUUUCUACCUCACCAGA